UACGAAGGGGGCUAGCGUUGCUCGGAAUCACUGGGCGUAAAGCGCACGUAGGCGGAUUGUUAAGUCAGGGGUGAAAUCCCGGAGCUCAACUCCGGAACUGCCUUUGAUACUGGCGAUCUUGAGUCCGGGAGAGGUGAGUGGAACUGCGAGUGUAGAGGUGAAAUUCGUAGAUAUUGGGAAGAACACCGGUGGCGAAGGCGGCUCACUGGCCCGUAACUGACGCUCAUGCACGACAGCGUGGGGAUCAAACAGG
RNAcentral lists this ribosomal RNA (253 nucleotides) under uncultured bacterium. Its description in RNAcentral is "partial 16S ribosomal RNA". It matches the Rfam family "Bacterial small subunit ribosomal RNA", at positions 524 to 776 of the family's 1533-position model. The record is from RNAcentral.